This 274-nucleotide ribosomal RNA is filed under the name uncultured bacterium. Its description in RNAcentral is "partial 16S ribosomal RNA". It matches the Rfam family "Bacterial small subunit ribosomal RNA", at positions 523 to 796 of the family's 1533-position model. The record is from RNAcentral.
UUACGUAUGUCUCAAGCGUUACCCGGAAUCACUGGGUGUAAAGGGUUCGUAGGCGGUUUGAUAAGUUGGAUAUGAAAGACCGGAGCUCAACUCCGUGUUGGUGUUCAAAACUGUCAAACUAGAAUCAGGGAGAGGUAAGCGGAAUUCUAAGUGUAGGGGUGCAAUCCGUAGAUACUUAGAGGAACACCGAAAGCGAAGGCAGCUUACUGGAACUGUAUUGACGCUCAUGAACGAAAGCGUGGGGAGCGAAAAGGAUUAGAAACCCUAGUAGUCC